GAUGUACGGUGUGAUGGUGUGCGGUUGAAUGCGUUGGGGGCUUGCUUUAGGCUGAAGUACUGGGCGUAAAGCGUUCGGAGGCUUGUGUGCAAGAUCUAUGUGAAAUCCCCGAGCUGAUGUGUGGAAUGGCAUGUGUGACUGGACGGCUAGAGUGUUUCAGAGGGGGGUAGAAGUCCACGUGGAGCAGUGAAAUGCGUAGAGAUGGGGAGGAAUACCGAUGGCGAAGGCAGCCCCCUGGGAUAACACUGACGCUCAUGCACGAAAGCGUGGGGAGCAAACAGGAUUAGAACCCCAGUAGUC
This 300-nucleotide ribosomal RNA is filed under the name uncultured Ancylobacter sp. RNAcentral describes it as "bacterial SSU rRNA". The stretch from base 54 to 300 matches the Rfam family "Bacterial small subunit ribosomal RNA", at positions 548 to 795 of the family's 1533-position model. Lineage: Bacteria; Pseudomonadati; Pseudomonadota; Alphaproteobacteria; Hyphomicrobiales; Xanthobacteraceae. The record is from RNAcentral.